GGCACCAUGGCUUAGUUGGCUAAAGCACCUGCCUUGUAAGCAGGACAUGCUGGGUUCAACUCCCAGUGGUGCCU
Molecule: transfer RNA, 74 nt
Filed under: Pelodiscus sinensis (Chinese soft-shelled turtle)
Lineage: Eukaryota; Metazoa; Chordata; Testudines; Trionychidae
Rfam family: tRNA
About the family: Transfer RNA (tRNA) molecules are approximately 80 nucleotides in length. Their secondary structure includes four short double-helical elements and three loops (D, anti-codon, and T loops).
Source: Rfam by way of RNAcentral